GCCGCGGUAGCUCAAUUGGUAGAGCAUCGCAUGCGGAGUGCGAAGGUUGUGGGUUCGGUCCCCAUCUGCGGCA
Molecule: non-coding RNA, 73 nt
Organism: Dermacentor albipictus
Lineage: Eukaryota; Metazoa; Arthropoda; Arachnida; Ixodida; Ixodidae
Source: the annotation of a RefSeq genome assembly